This 941-nucleotide long non-coding RNA is filed under the name Bos taurus (domestic cattle). RNAcentral's name for it is "long non-coding RNA NONBTAT017893". The record is from RNAcentral. Lineage: Eukaryota; Metazoa; Chordata; Mammalia; Artiodactyla; Bovidae.
UGGUGUGGAGUCUUCAUAAAGCUAGAUAACCGAAAGUAAAAAUAACCCCAUACACUGCGCAGAGGGGCCCCUGGAAAGCUGGCGGCACGGGCGGGCGGGAGGCCUAAGGGAGGGGCUAAAGCCGUGAGGACCCACGGGCCGUGGGAGGCGAGAAGAGGACCCGGCGGCCCUCGGGCCUCAAGACCGCACCGGCUGGGGCGUCUUUCCACCCUCCAACUUCGGUCCGCGCAGAAUCCCCCUCGCUCCUCUCAGCCACACACACCUGCAGGCUCAGGAAGCUCCCCGGGAGGAGAUGCAGAGAAGCCAAUGUUGGUCCCCAGCACCGAACCUUCCUGACCCAGGGAUUGAACUUGCCUCUCCUGCUUCUCCUGUAUCGGCAGGCAGAUUCUUUACCACUGAGCCACCUGGGAAGCCCUACUAGCUGCGUGGCCUUAGGAAAUUUCAUGAUCUUGCUUAUUCCUGUCUUGGAAAAUCCUUUCCAAUGUCUAACCAAGAUCUGUACUGCUGAAGUACCAGUUCUUUGACCUAUGGCUUGACAUGGCUGAUUUGAGAGGUACAGCUUCCCACCACCCAGGAAGGAAGGAACUGGCCUGGAUUUUGGCAACCUCUUGCUUGUACCAAAAAGAAGAACCUACUUCAUCCAGUUGGCUUCAGUGCCCUGUGAGAAGCCUUCCUGAUUGACGGAAAGAUGAGACUAAAUUCUAGCAAGUUGAGUGGCUCCUUCAAGAAGCCUGUGUGCAGGGUAGAAGUGGAGAGGCCAUAGCCUCCAGCCUGGGCAGCCCAUUGGCACCUGGAGCCACCUCAACUUUGCCUCCCCUUUGCUCCUGUGUCUAUAAGCUGCCCAGCCCAGCCCGUCCUGGUUUCUCCUGUGUCUUCUGAGCUGAGAUUUCUCUGAGAUGGAAGCCCCAUCCCAUGUCUAAUAAAGACUCUUGAAUACUGAA